UACGUAGGUGGCAAGCGUUGUCCGGAUUUAUUGGGCGUAAAGCGAGUGCAGGCGGCUCGAUAAGUCUGAUGUGAAAGCCUUCGGCUCAACCGGAGAAUUGCAUCAGAAACUGUCGAGCUUGAGUACAGAAGAGGAGAGUGGAACUCCAUGUGUAGCGGUGAAAUGCGUAGAUAUAUGGAAGAACACCGGUGGCGAAGGCGGCUCUCUGGUCUGUUACUGACGCUGAGGCUCGAAGGCAUGGGUAGCGAACAGGAUUAGAUACCCUGGUAGUC
Molecule: ribosomal RNA, 272 nt
Filed under: uncultured Lactobacillaceae bacterium
Lineage: Bacteria; Bacillati; Bacillota; Bacilli; Lactobacillales; Lactobacillaceae
Description: partial 16S ribosomal RNA
Rfam family: Bacterial small subunit ribosomal RNA
Source: RNAcentral